UUCUUAACGAUAUUAUAUUAAGUAAUGCCUGCUCCAUGACAAUUAAUAGCCGCAGAAUUUACUGUGCUAAGGUAGCAUAAUCAUUUUCCUUUUAAUUAAAGGCUAGAAUGAAUGGCUUAACAUUAAAUUUCUUUUUUAAUUUAUAUGUAAAAUUUAUAUUGAAAAUUAAAAUAUUUUCAUUUAUUCUAAAGACGAUAAGACCCUAUCAAACUUUACUAUUGUUUUGCUGGGGCAGCAAGACAAUAAAAAUUUUGUUUAAUAUAUAAUUUUAAAUAACCCAAUAUUAUUGAAAUUUAAUCAAGUUACUGUAGGGAUAACAGCACAAUUCUUUUUAAAAGUUCUAAUUUAAAAAAGAGAUUGUGACCUCGAUGUUGAAUUAUUUACCUUAUAGGCGCAAGAGUUGGUUAAGGGGGUCUGUUCGACCCUAAAAAUUUUACA
RNAcentral lists this ribosomal RNA (438 nucleotides) under Ero sp. GH1258. Its description in RNAcentral is "partial 16S ribosomal RNA". It matches the Rfam family "Bacterial large subunit ribosomal RNA", at positions 1830 to 2600 of the family's 2925-position model. Lineage: Eukaryota; Metazoa; Arthropoda; Arachnida; Araneae; Mimetidae. The record is from RNAcentral.